GGGUCGCUAGCUCAAUUGGCAGAGUCGCGGGCUUUUACCCCGUUCGUUCUGGGUUCGAGUCCCAGGCGGCCCA
RNAcentral lists this transfer RNA (73 nucleotides) under Mycobacteriales bacterium. RNAcentral's name for it is "tRNA-Lys". It matches the Rfam family "tRNA". Rfam says of the family: Transfer RNA (tRNA) molecules are approximately 80 nucleotides in length. Their secondary structure includes four short double-helical elements and three loops (D, anti-codon, and T loops). Further hydrogen bonds mediate the characteristic L-shaped molecular structure. tRNAs have two regions of fundamental functional importance: the anti-codon, which is responsible for specific mRNA codon recognition, and the 3' end, to which the tRNAs corresponding amino acid is attached (by aminoacyl-tRNA synthetases). tRNAs cope with the degeneracy of the genetic code in two manners: having more than one tRNA (with a specific anti-codon) for a particular amino acid; and 'wobble' base-pairing, i.e. permitting non-standard base-pairing at the 3rd anti-codon position. Lineage: Bacteria; Bacillati; Actinomycetota; Actinomycetes; Mycobacteriales. The record is from RNAcentral.